UUUGUAUUUCUUAGAAGUGUUCCCCUUUUGUUGCAAGUUAAAAAGUCGAGAGCAGGUGAGCAUCGGAAAUGUGUAAGUAUGUUUAAAGAAGCAAAAUGUCGCCAUCUGUCAGUGGCUCAAGUCCACUGCAUUAAGGAUCCGUCGUCAUCUGACACUCAAGGACUGGUAUUGGCAACCACAGAGGCUGUCAAAAAGAACGUUCUUUUAUACUAUAUUGUGUGCUUAUGAUAUUUAUAGUAUUGUUUGCCUGCAAUUAGAUCUUUAUGAUGUGACCAUUUGUUAUUUCUGCUUGCGUAUGCUAAAUGUAUGUUUUGAGUUAGUUUGCUUCCCUUGUAUUAUGAUGUGUGAAGGUUUGUCCAAUCCUAGCAUUACCACUAAUGGUCUGUACAAUCAAAAGCUUUCAAAAGCAAAAAAAAAAAAGAGCCAUGCAAAAAUGCACCAAAAUGGCAUCAUGAGGAGGUCUGACUAAUACUCGUACAUCAGGAGUAAUAAAGUAUGAUCUAAUUGACCAGAUUAUAAAAUUGCCCUGUCCAAAUCAGUAAACUAUUCAAUGAGUU
Syngnathus acus (greater pipefish) is the source of this 557-nucleotide long non-coding RNA. RefSeq lists it as uncharacterized. The record is from RefSeq and is a predicted model, not a curated record. NCBI's taxonomy places the organism in Eukaryota, Metazoa, Chordata, Actinopteri, Syngnathiformes, Syngnathidae. The transcript is spliced from 2 exons.